CGAGGGGUCCAAGCGUUGUUCGGAAUCAUUGGGCGUAAAGCGGGUGUAGGUGGCUUUGUAAGUCAGAAGUGAAAUCCCCGAGCUUAACUUGGGAAGUGCUUUUGAAACUGCAGAGCUUGAGUGUGGGAGAGGAUCGUGGAAUUCCAGGUGUAGUGGUGAAAUACGUAGAUAUCUGGAGGAACACCGGUGGCGAAGGCGGCGAUCUGGCCCAACACUGACACUGAGACCCGAAAGCGUGGGGAUCAAACAGGAUUAGAUACCCUGGUAGUCCACGCCGUAAACGAUGGAUACUUGGUGUUGGAGGUAUUGACCCCUUCAGUGCCGGAGCUAACGCGUUAAGUAUCCCGCCUGGGGAGUACGGCCGCAAGGUUA
RNAcentral lists this ribosomal RNA (372 nucleotides) under uncultured organism. RNAcentral describes it as "bacterial SSU rRNA". It matches the Rfam family "Bacterial small subunit ribosomal RNA", at positions 526 to 896 of the family's 1533-position model. The record is from RNAcentral.